Molecule: long non-coding RNA, 1706 nt
Organism: Hemicordylus capensis (graceful crag lizard)
Lineage: Eukaryota; Metazoa; Chordata; Lepidosauria; Squamata; Cordylidae
Exons: 3
Source: RefSeq, a predicted model, not a curated record
UGUAAUCAACAACAUCUGGGAAUCCCUGUUAGAGGGAACACUGUUGCCCACCAGUUAUUAAUUUCAGGUUAAUGAAGGUAUUUAUUGUUUUCAUUUUCAAACCAUGCUCACUGUCCUUAGAAGAUCACUGUUCAAAAUAAUAUGAAAUGAGACAUUGCUUGCAUGGUAAAAUUAUCCCUUUCAGAGAGAGAUAGUUCUUCUAAUCAAAGAAGAAACAAGCGUUAUUAUACCCUGUUGCUUUUCAUAACAACAGUAAGCAACUAUUUAGUUCAGUGGCAGGAAGAAGAUUACUCACUACACUGCCUGCUUACUACCACAACUGGUAAAAUCAGGGAUAACAAGCAAUGCCUUAUUGAUAGAGGCGCAUCUGCAUGCACACACAAAUUAAUUUCUGGUCAAUGUUCUGCAAAUGCAAGCCAGAAGUAUUAUUUCUAACAAUACUAGAGAAAAAGCAUCACUGCUCAAAAGAUUUUAGGAUUAAUAAGGAAAUGUAAUCUUCUUCUUCUUCUUCUUGUAGGAGAUAAUGGCGUACCAGGACCAUAAGGUCCCACAAACGCCACCUACUGGAGAUCCAAAAAAUAUACACAAACGUUCAAAAGGAGGAGAUGGAGUCACAAAUAUUCAAAAAGAUGAGACGAUUUAAGGGAUCUCCACAAAAGAGAGGUAGCAAUCUUCCAAUAUUGGCGGUCCAAAAACAGUUCUUGGAGAGAUCUGCCAUAGAGAUUAACAGAGCGAAGAGACAAAAGGAAAAGCUCACGUUCAUCACUAAAACAAGCACAAUCCCACAAAAGGUUAUGGCCAGCAGUAGCUAGCCAUGAAGAGUGCUAUCAGUACUUCAAGUACUGCUGAAUCCACCAUGGUCUGCAGAGACUUGGUGAAAAAUGGAAACAACAAACCAAAAAAAUGUAACGAGCCCCAUCACCGUCUGGAUGUAAAGUCCAGGUUGACCAAGCCAACAUGCAGCCUCCACCUUCCAACCCCCGUCAUGGCAACAUUUUGUUGAGGUCUGGUUAAUCUGUACUUUACUGGCUUCAAAAACUGGUAUAAAUAGUGCACCCAGGUAUUUGAAAGUGACCAGAUAUAGAAAUGAUACUUUUCUAGGAAGCAUGCUACAACUUGUGUAUCAUGCAGAAGGACUGUAGAUACCUGAAAAAGCAUCCGCUUUGCAUGAUUAAGUCCUUGGCAUCUGCAAGUAGGACUGGGAAAUACCCAUAUGAAACCCUGGAGAUCCAUUAUUUUUAAAAAAUAUUGUAUUAUUAUUAUUGUUAUAUUGCCAUAUCAGUUACAAAAAACUGAGUAUUACAACAUUUAUAAUCAAAGAUACGUAAGUUUAGGGUGGUAUAAAAAUAUAUUAAAUAAAUAAAUAAAUAAAAUAAAGAGAAAAAACCACUGAGAAGCAACCAUAAGAACAAAAAUAAAUAAUUGGUGGGGAUUGCUAUUUUUAUGAGUUAUGACAAAUGGAAAUUAAGAUUCUUAUAGAUAAGGAGUGAGAAAUCAGUUCAAAAGAUCCGAGUCAGUCAGAGUAAGUCUCUUUCCAGGCUCUGGCGUACUGAGAAGGUGGUGACAUUCUAAAGACUUUUUUGGUUGAUGAAAGCAAAGACCUGCCAAGUCUCAUAGAAGGAGUUAGACUACGACUGACCCAGGCAAAAAUGAAGAGAAUUUUUCUAUUUUUCAACAGUAGCAAUAAACCAAAGUUUAAUAUACCA